UACGAGUGCCUCAAGCGUUAUCCGGAAUUAUUGGGCGUAAAGGAUGUGUAGGUGGUUGUGUUAGUCUCUUGUCAAAUUCUUCGGCUUAACCGGGGGUCCGCAAGGGAAACGGCACGACUAGAGGAUGCGAGGGGUCUGUGGAACUCAUAGUGUAGCGGUGAAAUGCGUUGAUAUUAUGGGGAACACCAAAAGCGGAGGCAGCAGACUGGAGCACUCCUGACACUGAAACAUGAAAGCGUGGGUCGCGAAUGGG
RNAcentral lists this ribosomal RNA (253 nucleotides) under uncultured bacterium. Its description in RNAcentral is "partial 16S ribosomal RNA". It matches the Rfam family "Bacterial small subunit ribosomal RNA", at positions 524 to 776 of the family's 1533-position model. The record is from RNAcentral.